GCAUUGGUAGCUCAAUUGGAUAGAGUACCCGGCUACGAACCGGGCGGUUAGUGGUUCGAGUCCACUCCAGUGCA
Molecule: transfer RNA, 74 nt
Filed under: Parachlamydiaceae bacterium
Lineage: Bacteria; Pseudomonadati; Chlamydiota; Chlamydiia; Parachlamydiales; Parachlamydiaceae
Description: tRNA-Arg
Rfam family: tRNA
About the family: Transfer RNA (tRNA) molecules are approximately 80 nucleotides in length. Their secondary structure includes four short double-helical elements and three loops (D, anti-codon, and T loops).
Source: RNAcentral